Long non-coding RNA from Setaria italica (foxtail millet), 9267 nucleotides. RefSeq lists it as uncharacterized. The record is from RefSeq and is a predicted model, not a curated record. The transcript has 2 exons. Lineage: Eukaryota; Viridiplantae; Streptophyta; Magnoliopsida; Poales; Poaceae.
UAUAUAUAGGGAUGGGGGCUGGUUAUUUCAGCACCUCUUUGCUUAGCAACUAUUAUCAUUUGGCUUAGAGGCUAGUUAUGUGCUUAGAGUGAGAGGAGAAAGGGAGAUUAGAGAGUGAUUACUCUUUUCUCUUGAUUUCUUCAUAUUCAGUGGGUGGAUGAAGGGAGGAUGCUAGUCCUCAUCUUGUAUAGAAGAUGUUCUCGUGAUUUAGCUUUGUUUGUUGUCUCAAAUCGUGCUAAAUCUUUGAUUCCUGAGCGUUUUUCUUUUUCCCUAUUUUUGGAGCUAUUUUUCGGGAAUUUUCGUUCAUCAUGUUUGAGCCCGAAUCUCGUGAGAUUGGUUGAAGGGAAAUGUUGCCAGGACCUUGGAGAGCAUCUUUGAUAUGAUCCCCCUUCAAAUCCUUCACGAAUCCGGCUUGAUUUUGAGUUUUCCCAAAUCGUGUUCUUGAGGUAGGGUUUCGGUUUUCUCCAAGAUUUGCAAUGAAUACUUGAGCUUUUCGAGAUUUGUCUUAUGGAUCUAUUUUCCCUUGGGGUAUUGCAUCCUUGUCUCAAGUUUCGUUUCGAUCCGAGGAGUAUUGACAGAGUAAUUCUGGAUCAAAGUUGGGCGAGUUCUUCAGGCGUUCUUAUGUUCAUUCGGUUUGCUCUUCCUAUUCCUCUUUUGUUCGUGUGUGUGCGUGCAGGGCAUCGAAGCGAACCAGCAGCGAGCAGUGAACAACAGCAACAUGCGAGUGGGCCAAGUCCAGCGACGCAGGCCAGCACGGCAGGUAGCACACGGCCCAGCAACUAGCGGCCCGUCAGCAAGCCGGAGCUGCACCAGGCCGACCACUGCGAGGCGGGUCAAGUCUGACCAGGCGGCUCAGCUAGCUGCACCAGCGUGCAAGCAGCCCAGCUAGGAGGCGCAGAAGCUUGGCCGGUCCAACUAUGGGAGCUAGUGGCCCGUUAGCAGCUGUGAAUAGCCCAAGCCUCAAGUGACAGUAGGAGGCCCACGCAAGCAGAUCUUCUGUGAAAGCACUGUGAGCUUGAUUGUUUUAGUUCCUUGCCAAUUCCAUGCAAUUGCGAGCUAACCACUGUUGAGUGGUUUAGCAAUUUAAUCCUUGCGUAGUUCUGUUACUUGCUACUAGUUUUGAUUUCCCGUAUUACUAAUCUGCGUAGUUUAUUGCUGAUCCUUCCUUGACUAGUUUAGUAAGUGCUUAGUAGUAUCCUUGCUUUAUUUUGUUUGUGCAAGCUUGAUGGAGUCGAAUCAUGCAAUGUUUCCGCUGUAAUAUGAGCGUGUCUUAUCGUUCCUAAGGUGAGCUUGUCACGAGUUGACUAGCGUCAUCUUGACGAUAUAACGCGUAGUGUGUUUUGGGGUUGCGUUUGGGACAUAGGUCUUGUUCUCGUUGAGAAUUUUUUAUAGGCUCCUAUUCACCCCCCUCUUGUCACCCUUUCAGUCCUUCAAUUGGUAUUAGAGCUGGUUAAGGUUUUUCAUACCCUAAUUGGUUUCGAAACCUAUUAUGGCAACCUCUGAGCGUUCUUCCUCGACCGCUGCACACUACUUUGAUGGCUCUGACUAUCAGUAUUGGAAAACUCGCAUGAGAGCCCAUCUAAAUAGUAGAGGAGCAGGGGUUUGGGAAAUCACUCAGGAUGUGUCUUAUGUGAUUCCUGCUACUCGCUUGACUCAAGAAAAAAGAGAUAAAUAUCACGCCAAUAACAAGGCGGUGGAUAUCAUGUUUGCAAGUCUGUGCCGUGCUGAGUUUGACCGUGUCGAGGAUCUAUCUCUUGCUCAUGAGAUUUGGUCCAGACUUCAGAGUUUCCAUGAGGGAAACAGUCAGGUGAAGGCAAGACUCUUUGAGAGACCUACAGGCGUGAGUAUGAGAACUUUGUUCAUUUGCCUGGAGAGUCUGUUGAUGCUUUGUUUCAGCACUUUCUUGCUAUUGUGAACAAGAUGAAAGCAAACAUCACUGUCUUACCCUACACCGAUCAUGAUAGAGCUUUAAAGCUCCUACAUGCUUUGGAUCACGAGGUGUGGGGUACGAAGGUUGAUGCUAUCAUCGAGUCACCAAAUUAUGAGACGCUUUCCACUGAUGAGCUCUUUGCUAAGUUGAAAUCCACGGAGGCUGACAAGAGGCUCCGAGCUAAACAGGGGAGCCCUACUGAUCCAAAUAGUAUGGCUCUCAUGUGAGGCUCUGGUCAGCCUAAGUCUUUGAGUGGCUCUUCUUUGAUGUCGUUUGUCUUGUCUUCUUUGGUUUUAGUGUCCGAGGAGCAGCUGGAGGUUCUUGAUGAUGAGGAGCUUGCCUUGAUCACUCGGCGAUUCAUGCGCUUCAACGACAAUCCCAAUAACCGGUGAAGGAACAACAAUACAUGUUUCGGCUGUGGGAAGCCAGGACACUUCACCGCCGACUGCCCCGAUAAGAACAAGUCCAAGAGCGGGUACAACUACAACAAGCACAAGAACAAGGACGACAUCAGGAAGAAGAAAAAGUACACCGAUCGCGAGAAGAAGGAGCAUCGCAAGAAGGCCAAAGAGCAUGCCUUCAUUGCCUCCCUCAGCGACGUCAACUCCAACACCGACGACCACACCGACUCAAGCUCAAACGAGGAGGAUGACGAUCGCAAGGCGAAGAAGAAGGACGGAAAGAACUUCAACAGCCUCUGCUUCUACUCCGGUAAGAACCACGACGGGUACUGUGUCAUGGCCCUCAACUCCAAGAAGGAUGACAAGGAAAGUAACUCCGACACAGAAACUGAGGUCGGAGACCUGGAGAACACGUGGCUCAUUGAUUCUGGUUGCUCUCGACACAUGAUCGGUGAUCACAAAUAGUUCUCCAGCCUCACCCCGGUGAUGACCAAGGAGUACAUCACUUUCAGGGAUAGUAACAAAGGUAAGGUUCUGUCUGAAGGUGCUAUCAAGGUAAGUGAGAAUUUCAUACUCAAGCGAGUUGUUCUUGUUGAUUCUCUCAGUUUCAAUUUGCUUUCGGUUUCGUAACUUCUUGAUGAUGGAGUUGAGGUUCGUUUCAAACAUGGGGCUUCAUGGAUUUUAGAUUCUCGAGGUUAUCUUGUGUGUAUGAUCGUUCCUAAGGGUCAAGUGUUUCGAGUGGAUUUCUCUAAGUCAUUUGGUCUCUCUCGGUGUUUAGUGGCUGGCUCAUCUUCUGAGCUUUGGAAGUGGCAUAGGAGAUUGGGUCAUUUGAGUUUUGAUUUACUUUCCCGCUUGAGUGCUUUGGAUCUUAUUCGAGGUAUGCCCAAAUUAAAAUUUGAGAAAGAUCUUGUUUGUGCUCCUUGUUGACAUGGAAAGUUGGUUGCUGCUUCCCAUCCACCUGUGAAUCAGGUGAUGACUAAGCAUCCAGGCGAGCUGUUGCAUAUGGACACUGUUGGUCCAUCUCGUGUUUGCUCAGUUGGUGGGAAGUGGUAUGUGCUUGUGAUCGUUGAUGAUUUUUUGAGGUAUUCAUGGGUUUUCUUCAUGGAGUCUAAGGAUGAGGCAUUUUAUUUUGUUCAAGAUUUCAUCUUGAGGUUGAAAAAUGAGCGACCAAAAGAUGUCAUAAGAGCUAUCCGCGUGACAAUGACACAGAAUUUAAGAACACUCAUUUUAAAUCCUUUUGCAAUGAUUUUGGUCUUGAACACCAGUUUUCAUCGCCUUAUGUCCCUCCUCAGAAUGGUGUUGUUGAACGGAAGAAUCAGACCCUUUGUGAGAUGGCUAGGAUGAUGCUUGAUGAGCAUAGGACUCCUAGAAAAUACUGGGCCGAAACUGUCAACACUGCUUGCUAUGUUUCCAAUUGAAUCUUCUUACGAGCUUUCAUGAAGAAAACUUCUUUUGAGCUGAUGCAUCGACGUUCCCCCAAAGUGUUUCAUUCUGAGGGUGUUUGGCUGCAAGUGUUUCAUUCUCAAGCAAGGGAAUUUGGACAAAUUUGAGUCUCAUUCUACGGAUGGGAUUUUUCUUGGUUAUGCUUCUCAUAGUCGUGCUUAUCGUGUGCUUAACCUUGGAACUAACCGGAUCAUGGAAACUUGUGAGAUUACAUUCGAUGAAACUAUGCCUUGCAAAACUUCUAUCUUUGAAGUUGCAAGUGAACAUGAAAUGGGGCAAAGCAUCUUUGAGGAAGAGGAAGAGCGUGUGAAUGGUGGUGAUGAAAAAAAUGAUGAGAUUGAUCGAGUUCCAGCUGCUACUCAUGUACCUUCUAAUUUGACUACAAUGGUUGAUGGUCUUACCUCCACUCCCACUACUUCAAGCCAUCAACAACUACCACUACAUGAUGAAGAAGAAGAAGUUCAGGGUAAUCCAGCUGCUGUUAAGGGGGAGGUGACUUCAGAGCAAGAGGCUCCACAUACAUUCAGCGUCGCCAUCCUCCACAACAAAUGAUCAGUAACUUACAUGAACGCACCACUCGGGACAGCUCUAGGCAGAUUUCACACUUUGCACAUUCUGCUUUUGUUGCCUCUUUUGAACCCUGAGAUAUUGGACAUGCUUUAUCUAAUUCGAACUGGGUCAAUGCAAUGCAUGAGGAGUUAGAAAACUUUGAGAGAAACAAGAUUUGGGUUUUAGUUGAACCACCUCCAAAUUGCUACCCUAUAGGAAUAAAAUGGGUUUUCAAAAAUAAACAGGGUGAGGAUGGAUUGGUUGUGAGAAACAAAGCGAGGUUAGUUGCUCAAGGUUUUAUCUAAAAAGAGGGGAUAGAUUAUGAGGAAACCUUUGCCCCUGUUGCCCAUUUGGAAGCGAUUAGAAUCCUUCUAGCCUUCUCUGUGGCUAAAGGUUUUAAGCUCUUCCAAAUGGAUGUGAAAAGUGCCUUCCUAAAUGGUUUCAUAGAGGAGGAAGUGUACGUGUAACAACCCCCUGUCUUUGAGACUCCUAAGUAUCUUGAUCGUGUUUUCAAACUUCAAAAAGCUCUCUAUGACCUAAAACAAGCAUCCUGAGUGUGGUAUGCUAGAUUGAAAUCAUUUUUGCUUGGGAAUGGGUUUGAAAUGGGGUCAGUUGAUAAAACACUCUUUCUCCUCAGGCAAGGCAAAGACUUAAUGAUUGUUCAGAUUUACGUGGAUGAUAUUAUCUUCGGUGGCUCCUCUCAUGCUUUCGUUGCCAAGUUUGCAGAUGACAUGAGCAGGGAAUUCGAGAUGUUUAUGAUGGGUGAGUUGACCUUCUUUCUCAGGCUACAAAUCAAGCAAAGCAAUGAUGGAACCUUUGUGCAUCAAGGCAAGUACACGAAGGAUGUGUUGAGGAAGUUUGACAUGGCUGACGCCAAGCCAUUGUCAACUGCUAUGGCGACGACGACGGCUUUGGAUACGAAUGAAGAUGGAGAACAAGUGGACCGGAAGGAGAAAAGGAGCAUGAUCGGCUCCCUCUUGUACCUGACGGCGACGAGGCCGGACAUACACUUCGCUGUGUGUCUAUGCGCUUGUUUUCAGGCUUCACCGAGGACAUCUCACUGUCAGGCAGUGAAGAUGAUCAUGAGGUAUCUCCGCUUUACCCCUGAGUUCGGUUUGUGGUAUUCUGCCUCCCGACACUCACGCUUUGGGGAUACUCCGAUGCGGACUUUGCUGGGUGUCGCUUGGAUCGCAAGUCUACCUCAAGCACUUGCUGGUUUCUCGGUUUGUCUUUGGUCACUUGGUCUUCUCGCAAACAAUCUAGUGUUGCUCAGUCUACCACCGCAGCUGAGUAUGUUGCUGCUACUAUCUGUUGUUCUCAGCUGCUUUGGAUGAUUUCCACUUUGAGAGACUUUGGUUUGGAUUUUACUCAUGUACCCCUUCUUUGUGACAGCACGAGUGCCAUUAGUGUAGCCAAGAACCCCGUUCUCCACUCAAAAACCAAACACAUUGGUGUGAGAUAUUAUUUUCUAAGAGAUCAUGUUGAGAGAGGGGACAUUGACCUUGGCCAUGUUGCUGCCCAAAACCAACUCACUGAUAUUUUCACCAAACCCCUGGAUCAAGCCACUUUUACUUGUUUGUGGGGGGAGUUGGGUGUUUGCUUUCCUUUCUGAGUUGGGUUUUGGAGCUUCUCUUUUAUUAUACUUGUAUCAUUUAUGUACAAAACAUGGUAGGAUAGCCACUUCUUCAUGAUAGCUUUGAGUUCUUCAUGUAUAUCUUAUCAUGCUAUCUUUUGUGAUAUUUUGUGGUGGAUGAUACAUAUGAACAUUAUGUCAUGCUUUACCAUAGUUCACAUUUGUGUAUGGCAUAUUGUUCAUCUAUAUCAUUUUUGCUUAGUAUCUUUGCAUCUAUAUCAUAAUGCAUUUUGUAUCAUACUGCAUUAGAUGAGCUUCUCCUAUAUACCCUAAGUACUCCCUUAUGCUACUUGUGAGCUAGUGUUGUGGUUGGUGAUUUUGAUGCAAUGUGCAGUUAUGCUCUUGAUGAUAUUGUAUACUUGUUGAGAUAACUAUUUUUGAAAUUCAAUGCUAAAUUCUACUCUAUUAACUUGCUUAUCUCCCAUGAGUAGAUGCAUAAUUAUGGUUUGCCCUUGUUUUAAUACUGGUUCUGUAUCAAGCUUGUAUUUGGAAUCCAUGUUCUUUUCAAUUGGGUCAAAGAUUUAGGUAUCAUUGCAAAUGUUUAGCCCAUGAUGCACCCCUUGGGGAAGCAUGGCUUCUUUGUGCCGCAAAGGUACUUCAUGUAUUUUGCUUUGUGUGAAUAAUGAAAAUAAAAAUGCUGACAAAUUCAUAAAUUCACCAAUUUUUUGUGCUUAAUGUGAUAUUUUUGCUUGCUUAGUUGUUACAAGAUGUCUACCAAAAUAAGUAGGCACUUGGUUUCAACAAGUUUUAAACAUGACAUGUGAUGCAUAUAUGGGUUUUUGCAAUGAUGUCUUGUUGAGAAUGGGUUUUCCUAGUAUGAGCUCUUGAUGGACUAGUCUAUUCUUGCUUGGGUGAUUCUUAACUAGGUGCCUGCUCAUGUGGUGAUCUUUUUAUACAUUGCUAAAACUUGAUACUUGCUUCACCUCCAUUGUUGUAACUUGAUAUCAUCUUGUUAGCGAUGCUAUUGUUUCUUAUGAUCCAUCAAGCUUUAUCUCCCCUGUAGCCUUUGAGAAUGCAUUGUGAUAUAUUUGAGAAGCUUGUUAGGUUCUGCAUUUCCAUGGUAUGCAUUUUGUGCUUUCAUGCUUUUCUUGAUGGUUGCAUUGUCAAUAAGAGGGAGAUAAAUCUACACAAACUCAUUCAUCUGUCAAGGGGGAGACUUUGCGUGUAUGCAUGAUUUCAGGGGGAGUGCAUAUGUUCAGGGGCAGUAUUUAUGAGUUGUUGCUAUGCUCUUGUUAUGCUCUUGUGCUCUUGUACCAGUCGCGUUGAGCUAUUUACCUCUUCUUAAGGAGCCAAUUUUUAAUUUGAGUUUGGAUUUUCAUGUGAUUGGUGUUGAGCCCGUUUUAUGCCUCUUCUUGAGAGAUCACAUGAUUUUGUCUCAGUUGUGUAGAGCUGUUUCCCUUAUCUUAGGGGACUGAGAUUUUCUAUUUGAGUUUCUUGUUUUCUGUUUCAAUACUAUGAAUUUGUGGGGUGUUGUCAAUACACUCAUCAAGGGGGAGAUUGAGGACCAAUGGUGGUCACCUUUGGAAGAUGAGUGAUUGACAACGUUGUGUUGGUUUCAUGUUGCUCUUGACUUGUGAUGUGCAAGUGUAGGAUGCGACAUGGCGGUCGACGGCGUGCGGUGAAGGUCAAGUGAAAGGUUCAUGCCGAUGGACCAAGGGCGGUGAAGGAUGAACGCGAGUAGGCUUGGACCGAUGGACCUGAGGAGUCCGGGUGAAGUCAUGGGCGGUCCACAUGGUGCACAGAACGGUGAGAGGACAUGACAGGAUGGAGACGGCGUUGGUCGAGUCGAGCGGGAGGCUUGGCGGAGGCCAGACACGUGUCGACAUCGAGGAGGUUGCGUGGCGGCCAAGCGAAGAUGGACAGUUUGGGUGCUUUGGGCCUCAAAACCACCGCGCAGCCAGGUUUCCCGGUUUGGGCCUCAAAACCGGGGGCGACCCCGGUGCGGUCGGAGCUUCGAGAAGGAGGGCACGUGGCGUCAUCGCGAAGCUUGCGUCGAGGCGAAGCAAAGUCGUGAAGGCGGCGUGUCCGUUCGAUGCACGGAUAAAAACUUGGACCAAAAUGCCCCUACGUUGGUAGUUAUCCUAGUUAUAGUGUUAGGGGUAGUAUGGUCAUUCAUCCCGGAGUAUAUAUAGGGAUGGGGGGCUGGUUAUUUCAGCACCUCUUUGCUUAGCAACUCAUUAUCAUUUGGCUUAGAGGCUAGUCAUGUGCUUAGAGUGAGAGGAGAAAGGGAGAUUAGAGAGUGAUUAUUCUUUUCUCUUGAUUUCUUCAUAUUUAGUGGGUGGAUGAAGGGAGGAUGCUAGUCCUCAUCUUGUAUAGAAGAUGUUCUCGUGAUUUAUCUUUGUUUGUUGUCUCAAAUCGUGCUAAAUCUUUGAUUCCUGAGCAUUUUUCUUUUCCCCUAUUUUUGGAGCUAUUUUUUGGAAAUUUUCAUUCAUCAUGUUUGAGCCCGAAUCUCGUGAGAUUGGUUGAAGGGAAAUGUUGCCAGGACCUUGGAGAGCAUCUUUGAUAUGAUCCCCCUUCAAAUCCUUCAUGAAUCCGGCUUGAUUUUGAGUUUUUCCCAAAUCGUGUUCUUGAGGUAGGGUUUCGGUUUUCUCCAAGAUUUGUAAUGAAUACUUGAGCCUUUCGAGAUUUGUCUCAUGGAUAUAUUUUCCCUUGGGGUAUUGCAUCCUUGUCUCAAGUUUCAUUUCGGUCCGAGGAGUAUUGACGGAGUAAUUUUGGAUUGAAGUUGGGCGAGUUCUUCAGGCGUUCUUGUGUUCAUUCGGUCUGUUCUUCCUAUUCCUCUUUUGUUCGUGUGUGUGUAGGGCAUCGAAGCGAACCAGCAGCGAGCAACGAAUAGCAGCAGCACGCGAGUGGGCCAAGUCCAGUGACGCAGGCCAGCACGGCAGGGAGCACACGGCCCAGCAACUAGCGGCCCGUCAGCAAGCCGGAGUUGCACCAGGCCAUCCACUGCGAGGCGGGUCAAGUCUGACCAGGUGGCCCAGCUAGCUGCACCAGCAUGCAAGCAGCCCAGCUUGGAGGUGCAGAAGCUUGGCCGACCUGACUACGGGAGCUAGUGGCCCGUUAGCAGCUGUGAAUAGCCCAAGCCUCAAGUGACAGCAGGAGUCCCACGCAAGCAGACCUUCUGUGAAAGCACUGUGAGCUUGAUUGUUUGAGUUCCUUGCCAAUUCACUUGAUUGUUUGAGUUCCUUGCCAAUUCCAUGCAAUUGCGAGCUAACCACUGUUGAGUGGUUUAGCAAUUUAAUCCUUGCGUAGUUCUAUUACUUGCUACUAGUUUUGAUUUCUCGUAUUACUAAUCAUGCGUAGUUUAUUGCUUA